UGUGAGCUCGAUGAGUAGGGCGGGACACGUGGUAUCCUGUCUGAAUAUGGGGGGACCAUCCUCCAAGGCUAAAUACUCCUGACUGACCGAUAGUGAACCAGUACCGUGAGGGAAAGGCGAAAAGAACCCCGGCGAGGGGAGUGAAAAAGAACCUGAAACCGUGUACGUACAAGCAGUGGGAGCACGCUUAGGCGUGUGACUGCGUACCUUUUGUAUAAUGGGUCAGCGACUUAUAUUCUGUAGCAAGGUUAACCGAAUAGGGGAGCCGAAGGGAAACCGAGUCUUAACUGGGCGUUAAGUUGCAGGGUAUAGACCCGAAACCCGGUGAUCUAGCCAUGGGCAGGUUGAAGGUUGGGUAACACUAACUGGAGGACCGAACCGACUAAUGUUGAAAAAUUAGCGGAUGACUUGUGGCUGGGGGUGAAAGGCCAAUCAAACCGGGAGAUAGCUGGUUCUCCCCGAAAGCUAUUUAGGUAGCGCCUCGUGAAUUCAUCUCCGGGGGUAGAGCACUGUUUCGGCAAGGGGGUCAUCCCGACUUACCAACCCGAUGCAAACUGCGAAUACCGGAGAAUGUUAUCACGGGAGACACACGGCGGGUGCUAACGUCCGUCGUGAAGAGGGAAACAACCCAGACCGCCAGCUAAGGUCCCAAAGUCAUGGUUAAGUGGGAAACGAUGUGGGAAGGCCCAGACAGCCAGGAUGUUGGCUUAGAAGCAGCCAUCAUUUAAAGAAAGCGUAAUAGCUCACUGGUCGAGUCGGCCUGCGCGGAAGAUGUAACGGGGCUAAACCAUGCACCGAAGCUGCGGCAGCGACGCUUAUGCGUUGUUGGGUAGGGGAGCGUUCUGUAAGCCUGCGAAGGUGUGCUGUGAGGCAUGCUGGAGGUAUCAGAAGUGCGAAUGCUGACAUAAGUAACGAUAAAGCGGGUGAAAAGCCCGCUCGCCGGAAGACCAAGGGUUCCUGUCCAACGUUAAUCGGGGCAGGGUGAGUCGACCCCUAAGGCGAGGCCGAAAGGCGUAGUCGAUGGGAAACAGGUUAAUAUUCCUGUACUUGGUGUUACUGCGAAGGGGGGACGGAGAAGGCUAUGUUGGCCGGGCGACGGUUGUCCCGGUUUAAGCGUGUAGGCUGGUUUUCCAGGCAAAUCCGGAAAAUCAAGGCUGAGGCGUGAUGACGAGGCACUACGGUGCUGAAGCAACAAAUGCCCUGCUUCCAGGAAAAGCCUCUAAGCAUCAGGUAACAUCAAAUCGUACCCCAAACCGACACAGGUGGUCAGGUAGAGAAUACCAAGGCGCUUGAGAGAACUCGGGUGAAGGAACUAGGCAAAAUGGUGCCGUAACUUCGGGAGAAGGCACGCUGAUAUGUAGGUGAAGUCCCUCGCGGAUGGAGCUGAAAUCAGUCGAAGAUACCAGCUGGCUGCAACUGUUUAUUAAAAACACAGCACUGUGCAAACACGAAAGUGGACGUAUACGGUGUGACGCCUGCCCGGUGCCGGAAGGUUAAUUGAUGGGGUCAGCGCAAGCGAAGCUCUUGAUCGAAGCCCCGGUAAACGGCGGCCGUAACUAUAACGGUCCUAAGGUAGCGAAAUUCCUUGUCGGGUAAGUUCCGACCUGCACGAAUGGCGUAAUGAUGGCCAGGCUGUCUCCACCCGAGACUCAGUGAAAUUGAACUCGCUGUGAAGAUGCAGUGUACCCGCGGCAAGACGGAAAGACCCCGUGAACCUUUACUAUAGCUUGACACUGAACAUUGAGCCUUGAUGUGUAGGAUAGGUGGGAGGCUUUGAAGUGUGGACGCCAGUCUGCAUGGAGCCGACCUUGAAAUACCACCCUUUAAUGUUUGAUGUUCUAACGUUGACCCGUGAUCCGGGUUGCGGACAGUGUCUGGUGGGUAGUUUGACUGGGGCGGUCUCCUCCUAAAGAGUAACGGAGGAGCACGAAGGUUGGCUAAUCCUGGUCGGACAUCAGGAGGUUAGUGCAAUGGCAUAAGCCAGCUUGACUGCGAGCGUGACGGCGCGAGCAGGUGCGAAAGCAGGUCAUAGUGAUCCGGUGGUUCUGAAUGGAAGGGCCAUCGCUCAACGGAUAAAAGGUACUCCGGGGAUAACAGGCUGAUACCGCCCAAGAGUUCAUAUCGACGGCGGUGUUUGGCACCUCGAUGUCGGCUCAUCACAUCCUGGGGCUGAAGUAGGUCCCAAGGGUAUGGCUGUUCGCCAUUUAAAGUGGUACGCGAGCUGGGUUUAGAACGUCGUGAGACAGUUCGGUCCCUAUCUGCCGUGGGCGCUGGAGAACUGAGGGGGGCUGCUCCUAGUACGAGAGGACCGGAGUGGACGCAUCACUGGUGUUCGGGUUGUCAUGCCAAUGGCACUGCCCGGUAGCUAAAUGCGGAAGAGAUAAGUGCUGAAAGCAUCUAAGCACGAAACUUGCCCCGAGAUGAGUUCUCCCUGACUCCUUGA
RNAcentral lists this ribosomal RNA (2443 nucleotides) under Escherichia coli. RNAcentral's name for it is "bacterial LSU rRNA". It matches the Rfam family "Bacterial large subunit ribosomal RNA", at positions 398 to 2826 of the family's 2925-position model. Lineage: Bacteria; Pseudomonadati; Pseudomonadota; Gammaproteobacteria; Enterobacterales; Enterobacteriaceae. The record is from RNAcentral.